GUGGGGAAUCUUGCGCAAUGGGCGAAAGCCUGACGCAGCCAUGCCGCGUGGAUGAUGAAGGUCUUAGGAUUGUAAAAUCCUUUCACCGGUGAAGAUAAUGACUGUAGCCGGAGAAGAAGCCCCGGCUAACUUCGUGCCAGCAGCCGCGGUAAUACGAAGGGGGCUAGCGUUGCUCGGAUUUACUGGGCGUAAAGGGCGCGUAGGCGGACAUUUAAGUCAGAGGUGAAAGCCCAGGGCUCAACCUUGGAAUUGCCUUUGAUACUGGCUGUCUUGAGUUUGGGAGAGGUGAGUGGAACUCCGAGUGUAGAGGUGAAAUUCGUAGAUAUUCGGAAGAACACCAGUGGCGAAGGCGACUCACUGGCCCAAUACUGACGCUGAGGCGCGAAAGCGUGGGGAGCAAACAGGAUUAGAUACCCCGGUAGUCC
This 425-nucleotide ribosomal RNA is filed under the name uncultured bacterium. Its description in RNAcentral is "partial 16S ribosomal RNA". It matches the Rfam family "Bacterial small subunit ribosomal RNA", at positions 354 to 796 of the family's 1533-position model. The record is from RNAcentral.